UCAGACGAUGCGUCAUGCAUAUCAAUAAGCGGAGGAAAAGAAACUAACAAGGAUUCCCCUAGUAACGGCGAGUGAAGCGGGAAGAGCUCAAAUUUGAAAUCUUAAAGGGUUUCCCUUUACGAAUUGUAGUUUAAAGAAGUGUUUUCUGUUGAGGUUUUGGUAAAAGUUCUUUGGAAUAGGACAUCAUAGAGGGUGAGAAUCCCGUAUUUGACCUUUACUUUCAACUUUGUGAUACACCUUUCAAAGAGUCGGAUUGUUUGGGAAUGCAGUCCAAAAUGGGUGGUAAAUUUCAUCUAAAGCUAAAUAUUGGCGAGAGACCGAUAGCGAACAAGUACCGUGAGGGAAAGAUGAAAAGAACUUUGAAAAGAGAGUUAAACAGUACGUGAAAUUGUCAAAAGGGAAGCGUUUGACACCAGUGUUGUUUUUCUGAAAAUCAAUUAAAGAACUGUUUAUGCUAAGCUGUUUAGACUUUAUCAGCUAUCUGUUUAGUUUUGAGCUUUUCUUUAAUGCACUUUUCAGUUAACAAGUCAACAUCAAUUUCUUUUGCUGUAAAAAAGCUUGAGGAAGGUGGCUUGAGAUUCGUCUUAAGUGUUUAUAGCCUCUUGCCUAUGCAGUCGGAGAGAUUGAGGUCUGCAGCGUAGAUCCUUCGGGGCUAAAUGCAUUUGUGCUAAGUUAUAGCAUUUUAUAGACAACUUGUUGACUAUGAUUUGUCUUGUAGCUUACUCGCUUAUGUUAUUUUACCUACGCUUAGGAUGUUGACACACGCGCGUGCUCG
RNAcentral lists this ribosomal RNA (775 nucleotides) under uncultured Neocallimastigales. RNAcentral describes it as "partial large subunit ribosomal RNA". It matches the Rfam family "Eukaryotic large subunit ribosomal RNA", at positions 18 to 643 of the family's 3401-position model. The record is from RNAcentral. Lineage: Eukaryota; Fungi; Neocallimastigomycota; Neocallimastigomycetes; Neocallimastigales.